GUGGGGAAUAUUGGACAAUGGGCGAAAGCCUGAUCCAGCCAUGCCGCGUGUGUGAAGAAGGUCUUCGGAUUGUAAAGCACUUUAUGUUGGGAGGAAGGGCAGUAAGUUAAUACCUUGCUGUUUUGACGUUACCGACAGAAUAAGCACCGGCUAACUUCGUGCCAGCAGCCGCGGUAAUACGAAGGGUGCAAGCGUUAAUCGGAAUUACUGGGCGUAAAGCGCGCGUAGGUGGUUUUGUAAGUUGGAGGUGAAAUCCCCGGGCUCAACCUGGGAACUGCCUCCAAAACUGCAUGACUAGAGUACGGUAGAGGGUAGUGGAAUUUCCUGUGUAGCGGUGAAAUGCGUAGAUAUAGGAAGGAACACCAGUGGCGAAGGCGACUACCUGGACUGAUACUGACACUGAGGUGCGAAAGCGUGGGGAGCAAACAGGAUUAGAUACCCCGGUAGUCA
RNAcentral lists this ribosomal RNA (450 nucleotides) under uncultured bacterium. RNAcentral describes it as "partial 16S ribosomal RNA". It matches the Rfam family "Bacterial small subunit ribosomal RNA", at positions 354 to 796 of the family's 1533-position model. The record is from RNAcentral.